RNAcentral lists this long non-coding RNA (1050 nucleotides) under Brassica rapa (field mustard). RNAcentral describes it as "long non-coding RNA (BRAP_LNC000175)". The record is from RNAcentral. Lineage: Eukaryota; Viridiplantae; Streptophyta; Magnoliopsida; Brassicales; Brassicaceae.
UGGAAUGUGACAAUUUCAGCUGAUGUCACUAGUAUUGUGUGGGUGCUUUUGUUUAGAGUAGGUCUCUCUCAUAGUCAAAGCCGGUCCCUAACUCGCAGAAAAUUCAAAAGAGCAACACUUACGUUGAAUUUGUUCACUCUUCGUCGUCUGUCUUGUGUGUUUUUUUUUCUUUGCCAAAAUCGCCUACCUUGGGUUUCAGUCUUUCAGAUGAUCAAAGAGAAGGUUUCAUUCUCACACCUUUCUUCCUUCCUUGUUUUUGAAUUAUGAGAAUAGUUGUCAGUGUUUCAAAAAAAAAAAGUGUUUCAAAAAAAAAAAAGAAUAGUUUUGUCAUGAUCAUCCUUAUUGGUUGCAGAGUUGUGCUUCAAUUGUAUUUAAAAAGGCUUUCACCUAGAGCCCCCAAAAUAUAUAGUUUUUUUAAGGUUCCAAAUUUCAGAAAACAAUUAAUAGUAUAAUAGUUUAAGUUUGCCAUUUAUUUGAUAAACUGAAAUCAGCAAGUGAAGAUAGUUUGAUGGCAUCUUGUACCAAUCUUCAAGCAGCUUUAAAGUAUGUACAUUAUGAUGUUAUUGUGUUAUCUAGACUCAUGGAUUUUCUUAUUGACGAUUCCAGUUUCUGUCGAAAGAAUCUUUUCCAAAUUGAAGCUUAUAAAGUUUUAUAUGCGAUCAACCAUAUCACAAGAAAGGUUAAAUAGUGUAGUAAUUAUAUUUACAGAAAAAAAAUUAGUUAGAAAUCUAGAUUAUGAGAAUUUGGUUAAAGAGUUUGAAAAAGAAGGAAGAAAAAUUUUAUCUUAGUUUUUUAAGUUAUUGUUUUUCUUUUUAAUGUUUUUUCAAAUAUAUAUUAUACUCUAAUAAAAAAAAUUUAUAAAAAAGACCCAUUUUUAUAUUCGUCUCAGGCCCCACUAAAUCUUCGCACAAAACUGAAUUUGGCUGGUAGAGCUAUCAGCAGCAGAGUUAGAAUCACUUAGAUCACAACUUUCUAACUAAGAAGAAAGACAAGCUUAAUUACCUCUCAAAGCACACCAAGUCAUUUUCUCCAAGACUGUUCCCCAUACUC